AAAAAUCAAAAGUCUAGAAAAUUUAGUUAAAAAUAAUUCAAACUAUCUUAAGUAAGAAAACAAUUCGAGCUUCCUCACGUUGUUCGGUCCUAAAUUUGUUGAUUACCUGAAAAGGACAAAUAAGAAGAAUGAGCUAACAAGCUCAUUGUGUAAUUAAACCCAAACAAAAAAAAAACACAAAAAACAAAAUAACCUAUCAGACAUUGCAAGGAAUCUCAU
Molecule: long non-coding RNA, 219 nt
Filed under: Gossypium barbadense (sea-island cotton)
Lineage: Eukaryota; Viridiplantae; Streptophyta; Magnoliopsida; Malvales; Malvaceae
Description: long non-coding RNA (GBAR_LNC019316)
Source: RNAcentral